RNAcentral lists this ribosomal RNA (253 nucleotides) under uncultured bacterium. RNAcentral's name for it is "partial 16S ribosomal RNA". It matches the Rfam family "Bacterial small subunit ribosomal RNA", at positions 524 to 776 of the family's 1533-position model. The record is from RNAcentral.
UACGGAGGGGGCGAGCGUUGUUCGGAAUCACUGGGCGUAAAGCGUACGUAGGCUGUCUUGUAAGUCAGGAGUGAAAUCCCAGGGCUUAACCCUGGAAUUGCUUUUGAGACUGCAGGACUGGAGUCCGGGAGAGGCUAGUGGAAUACCCAGUGUAGAGGUGAAAUUCGCAGAUAUUGGGUGGAACACCAGUGGCGAAGGCGACUAGCUGGACCGGUACUGACGCUGAGGUACGAAAGCGUGUGGAGCAAACAGG